Molecule: long non-coding RNA, 641 nt
Filed under: Equus asinus (donkey)
Lineage: Eukaryota; Metazoa; Chordata; Mammalia; Perissodactyla; Equidae
Description: lncRNA (ENSEASG00005024575.1)
Source: RNAcentral
UGAUCUAGACAACUCUGUUACUUCUUGCUUGCCAGAGAGCACAGCUAUGGCUGCUUCUCCUUGACUACCCACUCUGGCUUGGUGGGAGCGUCUCUGCCAUCCAGCUUCUCCAUCAACUUUGUCAACUUUGAGCCUAAGCAGGGCCACUGAAUGAGAGGCGAGGAAAUGAAGCACCAAAAAGGAAUUCAUCCAACAUCAUAACUGGUGGAGUUGGAAUUCAGACUCUGUGCCUCCAGAAAGCAAUACUGCCCAACACAUAUGAAAAUUCCUAGCAGCAACUGCCCCUGACCUUUUCAGCUCCCAGACUGCUGGCUGUCAACCAACAUGCAACUGGCAGAAAAAUAGAAACCUUCUCUUGGGGGAGAGAAAAGAUCUAAGAUUCUGAUAUCAGGAAGCCCCCAAGGAAUAGAACGAAGAUCUUGACACUGAGAGUCUCCCAAGGAAUUGGCCCAGCUAGAUGGCCCUACAAUGAAGACUACAGUCAACCAGCUACAUGGACACACAUGGAGUUUCUAAUCAGCUUUCUGGCAGACAACUUUUGGUUUGAGCAAACAGCCAGAGAAUACCAGGACAAGGAAAGCCUCUGCUAUGACCAAGAUAUUCAGAAAAUAAGAGAAGUUGUUGGAUUUAUAAAAGAAGAA